UAACACAUGCAAGUCGAGCGAUUUACUUCGGUAAAGAGCGGCGGACGGGUGAGUAACGCGUGGGUAACCUGCCCUGUACACACGGAUAACAUACCGAAAGGUAUGCUAAUACGAGAUAAUAUACUUUUAUCGCAUGGUAGAAGUAUCAAAGCUCCGGCGGUACAGGAUGGACCCGCGUCUGAUUAGCUAGUUGGUAAGGUAACGGCUUACCAAGGCGACGAUCAGUAGCCGACCUGAGAGGGUGAUCGGCCACAUUGGAACUGAGACACGGUCCAAACUCCUACGGGAGGCAGCAGUGGGGAAUAUUGCACAAUGGGCGAAAGCCUGAUGCAGCAACGCCGCGUGAGCGAUGAAGGCCUUCGGGUCGUAAAGCUCUGUCCUCAAGGAAGAUAAUGACGGUACUUGAGGAGGAAGCCCCGGCUAACUACGUGCCAGCAGCCGCGGUAAUACGUAGGGGGCUAGCGUUAUCCGGAAUUACUGGGCGUAAAGGGUGCGUAGGUGGUUUCUUAAGUCAGAGGUGAAAGGCUACGGCUCAACCGUAGUAAGCCUUUGAAACUGGGAAACUUGAGUGCAGGAGAGGAGAGGAUUCUAGGUAGCGGUGAUGCGUAGAUAUUAGGAGGACACCAGUUGCGAAG
This 635-nucleotide ribosomal RNA is filed under the name uncultured Clostridium sp. RNAcentral describes it as "bacterial SSU rRNA". It matches the Rfam family "Bacterial small subunit ribosomal RNA", at positions 49 to 720 of the family's 1533-position model. The record is from RNAcentral. Lineage: Bacteria; Bacillati; Bacillota; Clostridia; Eubacteriales; Clostridiaceae.